AAAGAUUGAUUCUAUACAUCGUUUGACAUGUUUCUACAAACUGUAAUGGAACUAUUUUGACUUUUCGUCUGGACUAAACUCGCGGUAUUUGGACAUAAAUAUGAACUUUAUCGAACAAAACAAACAUUUAUUGUGGAACUGGGAUUCCUGGGAGUGCAUUCUGAUGAAGAUCAAAGAUACUGCAAUUGCAAUUAUGAAUUGCAAUAUUUUUAAGACUUGGGUGAAAACUUGGAAACUCAAGACUCACCCAGGGAAGAAAGACACCAAGAGAGAGCUGCUGGGCACUGGGACCAACCAGUCCCACUGCAUCUGCUGCCUGCAGCCCGUUAAAUUCCUGGUGAACAACAAGCGCCAGUGUCUGGAAUGCCAGCUGUGCGCCUGUAAGGCCUGAAGCUGCUACGACAAGAAGGAGCGCUGCUGGGUGUGCGACCCCUGCCGCAUGGAGAAUGUAACGCAUAUCUUACAUCUUGCCAAUGUACAAGUUCUACUCCUAAUUCCUACUUGAGGUAUGAAGGCAAGUAGAUAGUCCCUUUCAUCCACCUCUCUGAUAAAUCUUCCACACACUUUGCCAGAUGCAUUUCGCAAACUCCACAUAUCAUACUGUGUGUGAUCAUGAUCCAAGCACUGAAAAAUUUACUUUUACUCUGCACAAAGGCAGAUCCUUCAGAUUUAAACCUUGGUAGGCUACUGUACUUUACAGUGUUUAUCUACAGGUAACUGCUAAAAUAAAGGAAACACUAACAUAAAGUGUCUUAAUAGAGCAUUAGGCCACCAGAACAGCUUCAGUGAGCCUUGGCAUAGAUUCUACAAGUGUCUGGAACUCUAUUGGAGGGAUGCGACACCCUUCUUCCAUGAGAAAUUCCAUAAUUUGGUGUUUUGUUGAUGCUGGUGGAAAAUGCUCCAGAAUCUCCAAUAAGUGUUCAAUUGGGUUAAGAUCUGGUGACAGAGAGACAGAGAGACAGACAGACAGACACAAACUCAGCCUUUAAACCACCUAUGCUCUUCUGAUAUCCCUCUUUCAAAGUCACUGAGAUCUCUUCUAUCCAUGGUAGCCAAAAUAAUGGGCAACUGAGAAUUUUUAUACAUGACCCUAAGUACAAUGGGAUGUUAAUUGCUUAAUUAACUAAGAAACCACACCUGUGGUGAACAUCUGCUUUCAAUAUACUUUAUCUCUUAUUUACUCAAGUGUUUCCUUUAUUUUGGCAGUUAACUAUAUGUAUAGUAUCUAUUGAUGUGUCUAUUUGCAGUGUUGGGAGUAAUUACAUUUAACAAAAGUAAUGUGUUACUUUCCACACAAAGUAAUAUUGUAAAGUAACGCGUUAUAUUACUUUUUUUUUUAAAUGAAAUAAAAAAAUCUCACCCGUUUGUUUGACUGUCAGAGGGAACACGC
RNAcentral lists this long non-coding RNA (1390 nucleotides) under Salmo salar (Atlantic salmon). RNAcentral describes it as "lncRNA (ENSSSAG00000114535.1)". Lineage: Eukaryota; Metazoa; Chordata; Actinopteri; Salmoniformes; Salmonidae. The record is from RNAcentral.